This 207-nucleotide long non-coding RNA is filed under the name Populus tremula. RNAcentral's name for it is "long non-coding RNA (PTRE_LNC000409)". The record is from RNAcentral. Lineage: Eukaryota; Viridiplantae; Streptophyta; Magnoliopsida; Malpighiales; Salicaceae.
AACAGUAAUGGUGACCUAUGCGAUCAUAGCAAAUCAACUUGGUAAAAAUGCAUUUGAACAUAAUGCAAUUUUGGAUGUGCAUGUCAGAGUCUUUCAGUGCCUACGCUUUUCCAUAUAUAGCUAUAUAUUGGAGGGCUUAAUAUAUAUGUAUGAUCAAUGUUUCUCGUGAAAAUUCAAGUCACAUUUUUUCCUUUCAUUUGCCAUGGC